CUUGCGAGCAGCAGCCACAGCGCGAUUAACAUCUUCGAGAUCACCUUCAGCAACAUUUGCAAUGACUUCCCCAGUUCUUGGAUCCAAAGUUGGGAAUGUUUUUCCAGAUGCAGAAUCAACAAAUUGUCCAUUGAUCAGAAGCUUGGUGUGAUUAAUUUGGACAGGUGGAGUGAUUAUUUCCUCAACAGCUGCAGCUGUACUAAACCUGUUGAUGUGCCUUGCCACACCAUGGCUUCUUCCUAGAGAAGCAGAAACGGAAGGAAGGUUGAGAGAACGAGAGAGCAAAGAAGAAAUUCUGCGAGCUGCCAUGGUUAAGUUUACACAAGUUUGUUGAAUUGUUAGUAGUUGAAGAUAUAUUAGAGGUGUAGG
This 369-nucleotide unclassified non-coding RNA is filed under the name Hevea brasiliensis (rubber tree). The record is from RNAcentral. Lineage: Eukaryota; Viridiplantae; Streptophyta; Magnoliopsida; Malpighiales; Euphorbiaceae.